RNAcentral lists this unclassified non-coding RNA (240 nucleotides) under soil metagenome. Its description in RNAcentral is "partial contains 5.8S ribosomal RNA, internal transcribed spacer 2, and large subunit ribosomal RNA". The record is from RNAcentral.
AACACUGUUAACCUGCGGUACCUGCGGAGGGAUCAUUACCGAGUGCGGGCCCUCUGGGUCCAACCUCCCACCCGUGUUUAUUGUACCUUGUUGCUUCGGCGGGCCCGCCAUUCUGGCCGCAAAGGGGCACCUGCCCCUACGCCCGCGCCCGCCGAAGACAUCUCGAACUCUGUCUGAAGAUUGGAGUCUGAGUGGAAUUACAAAUUAGUUAAAACUUUCAACAAUGGAUCUCAGAUCGGA